This 1350-nucleotide ribosomal RNA is filed under the name metagenome. RNAcentral's name for it is "bacterial LSU rRNA". It matches the Rfam family "Bacterial large subunit ribosomal RNA", at positions 1564 to 2925 of the family's 2925-position model. The record is from RNAcentral.
UGAGUACGAGCUGCUACGGCAGCGAAGUGGGUGAUGUCAAGCUUCCAAGAAAAGCCCUAUACCCGUUAAGGCAUGACGGCCUGUACCCGAAACCGACACAGGUGGGGUGGUAGAGAAUACCGAGGGGCGCGAGGUAACUCUCUCUAAGGAACUCGGCAAAAUGGCCCCGUAACUUCGGGAGAAGGGGUGCCACCGCAAGGUGGUCGCAGUGAAGAGGCCCAGGCGACUGUUUACCAAAAACACAGGUCUCCGCUAAGUCGCAAGACGAUGUAUGGGGGCUGACGCCUGCCCAGUGCCGGAAGGUUAAGGAAGCUGGUCAGCGCAAGCGAAGCUAGCGACUGAAGCCCCGGUGAACGGCGGCCGUAACUAUAACGGUCCUAAGGUAGCGAAAUUCCUUGUCGGGUAAGUUCCGACCCGCACGAAAGGCGUAACGAUCUGGGCGCUGUCUCGGAGAGAGGCUCGGCGAAAUAGAAUUGUCUGUGAAGAUGCGGACUACGUGCACCCGGACAGAAAGACCCUAUGAAGCUUUACUGUAGCUUGGUAUUGUGCCCGGGCUCUGAAUGCGCAGGAUAGGUGGGAGGCUUUGAUCCAUUGCUUGUGGGUAAUGGUGAGCCACUGGUGAGAUACCACUCUUUCAGAGCUAGGGUUCUAACGGUCACCCGUUAUCCGGGGACCGGACAGUAUCAGGUGGGCAGUUUGACUGGGGCGGUCGCCUCCUAAAAGGUAACGGAGGCGCGCAAAGGUUCCCUCAGGCUGGUUGGAAAUCAGCCGACGAGUGUAAAGGCAGAAGGGAGCUUGACUGUGAGACCUACAAGUCGAACAGGGACGAAAGUCGGCCUUAGUGAUCCGACGGUUCUGAGUGGAAGGGCCGUCGCUCAACGGAUAAAAGUUACUCUAAGGAUAACAGGCUGAUCUCCCCCAAGAGUUCACAUCGACGGGGAGGUUUGGCACCUCGAUGUCGGCUCAUCGCAACCUGGGGCUGAAGUCGGUCCCAAGGGUUGGGCUGUUCGCCCAUUAAAGCGGUACGCGAGCUGGGUUCAGAACGUCGUGAGACGGUUCGGUCCAUAUCCGGUGCACGCGCAGGAACAUUGAGAGGAUUUCUCCCUAGUACGAGAGGACCGGGAGGAACGCACCUCUGGUGUACCAGUUAUCGUGCCAACGGUAAACGCUGGGUAGCCAUGUGCGGAGCGGAUAACCGCUGAAAGCAUCUAAGUGGGAAGCCCACCUCAAGAUGAGUGUUCCCAUGGCAUAAGCCAGUAAGGUCACGGGAAGAACACCCGUUGAUAGGCUCUACGUGGAAGCGUGGCAACACGUGAAGCGGAGGAGUACUAAUAGACCGAGGGCUUGACC